CUCAUUCAUUCUCUUUCAACUUUAUCAAUAACUGCUUAUGCUUCAAUAAAAAAACCCACCUCCUUGUCUCCAUAACGAAGCUGAAUACCUUCGAUGGUCUCAGUCAAACCUAAGAAGAACCUGUUGUCGAAAUCCAUCGAGCUUUAGACCACCGUGCUUUGAAGUCAGCUAAAGGGUUUGCAUUGAAGGUUGCACUGUUGUGGAACAUUGAAAUCUAGGUGAGUAAAUGGUGCCUCGUAUUCUCAUUACUAGACUAUCUGCGUCCUUCACACACCACAGAAGCAUCCAAUUCCAAUUGGGUUCUCUGCUGCAACACAAGCACAAUGCUUUUCUUUUUAGGUUUAACACAUUCACCUCUGGUGGGGACACCCGCAAAGGUGACACCUUUACCGUGCUUUACCUCAUCAACUCAUGUGGGUUGUCCCUGGAAUUGGCCAGGAAAGUCUCCAAGAGUGUGAAUUUGAAAACCCCAGAUGGUCCAAAUGCUGUUAUUAACACUCUCAAGAACUAUGGAUUCUCCGAAACUCAGGUUGCAAAACUUGUCGAGAAGAAUCCCCGUGUGCUUGCUGCAAAGGUGGAGAAGACCCUUUUGCCCAAACUCAAGUUCUUCCACUCUAUUGGGGUUCCCAACACUGACUUGCCUAAGAUCGUGAAUGAAUGUCCUUCAAUCUUGCGGAGGAGUCUGGGAAAAUGCCUUCUGCCACGAUACGAGAUUAUCAGGAGUAUAGUUCGUGACGAUCUGGAAGUUGUUAGAAUUUUGAGAAAAUCUCCAGUUGGUUUCAUAAUGUGUGACCUAAAGAAAUGCUUGAUUCCAAACAUUAAGGUUUUGAGGCAGUCUGGGGUUCCUCAGGGUUCAAUCUCUCUGCUGAUGGNCAACUUCCCCUCUGCAACAUUGGUGAAGCAUUCCAGAUUUGUUAAAGUUGUCGAGAGAAUUAAGAAAUUGGGGUUUGACCCUACGAGAACAAGUUUUGUCAUGGGUGUCCAAGUGCUUUUAACGAUGCGUAAAGCGGCAUGGGAAUCGAGAUUUGAGAUUUAUAAGAGGUGGGACUGGAACAGGGAAAUAGUUCUUCAGGCGUUUCUGAAGUAUCCCAAUUUUAUAAAAUUGACCGAGGAGACAAUUACGAAAAAAAUGACUUUUCUAGUUAAGGAUAUGGGUUUGCCAUCAUUGGAAGUUGCCGCAUAUCCUCCAGUUCUAGUCUACAACUUGGAGAAGAGGAUUAUCCCUAGAUUCUCAAUAAUUAAAAUCUUGAAAUCAAAAGGUUUGGUCAGGAGGAGUUUGAGUUUUGGUUACUAUAUGGGCAUUAAGGAGAAUGUUUUUUUGAAGAAAUAUGUCGAUAGCUUUAAGGAACAUUUGCCUCUCUUACCAGAUGUCUACAAAGGAUUGAUUCAUCGUGAUAAUGUAAUGUAGACUUUGAAGUAGCAUAUACUGUUGUUUGGAAAGAUCGAGUGUCGUGCUCUUUCUCAUUGAAUGAAGCAUUUGCCUUAGGCAAAGGUUUUAGCAGAAGAGAUGUUAAGGCACAGCUUUGUUUCCUGAAGUUUUUUAGGAGCUGCUUCUAGUUUAAAAGGUUGCACCAUCUACAAGUAUUAUGGAGUGGGAUGUUUAACCCAUGGAAACCAGAAGUUGAAGCAGACCUGUUAUUGCAAAAACCAUUUCAUGUGUGUGAAAUGUGAAUGGUAUUCUUGGGAGGGAGGGAGUUUUGUGAAAAAAGUGGGCUCAUAGCAAAUGAUGAUGAUGACGCCAAACUUGAACCUGGAACCUGAAGAAGAUUUCAAAAUCUGCAGCCAAGUUGGAUCAAAUGUAUUGCUGCAAGAAAAACCACAAGAUUUUUUGGACAACACCAUAAGAUUUUUGGGUAACACCUCACCGGUUCCGAUAGGGAACUUGGUCUCCAUUCUUGAAGGGUUGUUGAACACCAAGUCAAUGAAAAAAUAAAGCCAGAAACUUUGAACCCAAGUCUUUAUAAAUUCUUUAUUGCAGACACUUUUCAUACUGGAUAUAUAUUCUUUUCUAUGCGAUUGCAAGUUUCUGGUGCCUUAAAUCCCUGUUACUCUUCUUCCAUCACCAACCACAUAUCAAAAUCUGCACACACCUCCGCCGUAAUGGAAGAGAGCAUAAUUACCUUUGUUUUAUGGCAUGGAGGAUAAAGUCCAAUCCCUCCAGUACGAACUUCAUGGGGGCUUAUGCACUAUGAACGCAAUUUCAUCAAGAAUCUGUGUUGAAGCUGGUUGUUGAA
Molecule: RNA transcript, 2234 nt
Organism: Vigna radiata var. radiata (mung bean)
Lineage: Eukaryota; Viridiplantae; Streptophyta; Magnoliopsida; Fabales; Fabaceae
Gene name: transcription termination factor MTERF6, chloroplastic/mitochondrial
Exons: 3
Source: RefSeq, a predicted model, not a curated record